This 22-nucleotide small RNA is filed under the name Arabidopsis thaliana (thale cress). RNAcentral describes it as "ATSL233240". Lineage: Eukaryota; Viridiplantae; Streptophyta; Magnoliopsida; Brassicales; Brassicaceae. The record is from RNAcentral.
AGAAGGAAAAAAAACUAAAAAA